GACGCGGGCACAGCGUCCUCCAAGAGGCCACCUUGCUGAGAGGCAGACUUCCCAUCCACAAAAUGGGAUGACAAAACGGCUCAGAGUUGAAACCACUUCUCCAAGGAGACACAACUGCUGCCCGCAGAGCUGAAGCUCCUGACCCACUAUCAAAUUUCAAUCAUUUAUUUGCCUACCCCCUUUAUGAUUUUUACCACCCGUUACUUCAA
RNAcentral lists this long non-coding RNA (209 nucleotides) under Homo sapiens (human). RNAcentral's name for it is "non-protein coding lnc-TMEM74B-3:2". The record is from RNAcentral. Lineage: Eukaryota; Metazoa; Chordata; Mammalia; Primates; Hominidae.